UGGGGAAUAUUGCACAAUGGGCGCAAGCCUGAUGCAGCGACGCCGCGUGGGGGAUGAAGGCCUUCGGGUUGUAAACUCCUUUCAACCAUGACGAAGCGUGAGUGACGGUAGUGGUAGAAGAAGCACCGGCUAACUACGUGCCAGCAGCCGCGGUAAUACGUAGGGUGCGAGCGUUGUCCGGAAUUACUGGGCGUAAAGAGCUCGUAGGUGGUUUGUCGCGUCGUCUGUGAAAUUCCGGGGCUUAACUCCGGGCGUGCAGGCGAUACGGGCAUAACUUGAGUGCUGUAGGGGAGACUGGAAUUCCUGGUGUAGCGGUGAAAUGCGCAGAUAUCAGGAGGAACACCGAUGGCGAAGGCAGGUCUCUGGGCAGUAACUGACGCUGAGGAGCGAAAGCAUGGGUAGCGAACAGGAUUAGAUACCCUGGUAGUCCAUGCCGUAAACGGUGGGCGCUAGGUGUGGGGGUCUUCCACGACUUCUGUGCCGUAGCUAACGCAUUAAGCGCCCCGCCUGGGGAGUACGGCCGCAAGGCUA
This 531-nucleotide ribosomal RNA is filed under the name uncultured Corynebacterium sp. RNAcentral describes it as "bacterial SSU rRNA". It matches the Rfam family "Bacterial small subunit ribosomal RNA", at positions 355 to 896 of the family's 1533-position model. Lineage: Bacteria; Bacillati; Actinomycetota; Actinomycetes; Mycobacteriales; Corynebacteriaceae. The record is from RNAcentral.